Long non-coding RNA from Balaenoptera acutorostrata (minke whale), 1383 nucleotides. RefSeq lists it as uncharacterized. Lineage: Eukaryota; Metazoa; Chordata; Mammalia; Artiodactyla; Balaenopteridae. The transcript is spliced from 3 exons. The record is from RefSeq and is a predicted model, not a curated record.
UCCGGCUUGCCUUCUCCUCCACCUUCUCUUUCUUCUCCUUUAGGUCCUGCAAGAGAGAGGUCACCUUCCUCUCACCACAAACGAUCUGCAGCCCUUAAGUCCCUCCAGGCCCGGUUCUCCCUCUGCAGUGACUUUAGAGGAGUGGGAGAUGGAGAAAGUGGGCAGUGCGGCUUAGAGACUGAACAGAGGUCCCAGGGUCCUCACAGCCACAGAGGGGCUGAGACCAGACACCUUCCCCAAGACUCGAGGGAGGAGAAAAGUGACCAAGCCCGGGAAGAGGCAGCCAAGGCACUGUGGUGUCUCUGUGUGAUCGGAUCGGAUCUGGUGUUGGUGUGCAACUCUGUGUAUCCGAUUCCACGGGGAUGGAAGUUUUCUGGUUCCCUGACAAGGGAUCAAACCCGUGCCCCCUGCAGUGGAAGCGCAAAGUCUUAACCACUGGACUGCCAGGGAAGUCCCUGAUAUCAGAUUCUUAAGUCUUGGAAGGAAGAAGAGAAAGAGCUCUAGACACCUAAAGGCAGAGGAUACCAGGUAAUGGGAAAAGACCAAAGGAGGAAACUAGAAGCUAAGCUGCAUCUCCUAUGCAUCUCUGCGGAAGGCUGGACAUGAAAUGAGGAGGGAGAGGCUGGAAGGUAAGGCCCACUCUUCCUUGAGUCUGGGCUGCAGAACUCUCCUGGGACAACUCUUGAUCACAUGUCAAAAUGCUUUUGUUUGGGAGCAAGAGGAAAAGGGGCACUUGCAUGGCAGCAUGUUUAGAGAUAGAGCAUCUGGAAGAUAAAAGAUUUUACUAAGUCUCUUCCCCAGAAAUAUAAAUGGAAAAUACAUUUUCUUUUUUUUCUGUCUUUGGCUUUAGCUUUGCCGGUCUGCCAGCUUCUAAUAAUUUCUCUCUGUUCCCCUCUGUCUCCACUAUCGUGUUUUUCCUCUUUAAUAAUGAUCAAGUCCAAAGAAACCUGAGAAGCCCCACUCCCACCACCUUUUCCUGAGUCACCAGGGACCCCCUUCACCUUCUUCCCCAGGGAAGUGCUGGGGAUGGGAACAAGUCUCUCACUGUCAGGCCCGCUAACGUGGCUAGCGGCCAGUGUAAAGAACCAGGAGAGCUGGAGUCUGGAGGGGUCCAGUCUAAAGUCCACCCGGGACAGUCCAAGUCCCCUGACACCCAGGGGGAGGGCCCUUCUCUCCAGUUGGGCCAGAUUUUAUGCAAGACAUUUAGUAUGUCAAAGUGUCAGUCUUUGGCCUUCGAGUCAGGUCUCCUGGGCCUGUCUGCAACUCUGCGCCUGGGUGAGCUUGGUUAAUGGAGCGCUCCACCCCUUUCUUCUCCCAAACGUUAGACCCUUGACCUACCUACCUACUUGACUCGAGGCAAGAAAAGAUCAGUGCGGACUGGGA